GACGAACGCUGGCGGCGUGCCUAAUACAUGCAAGUCGAACGCUUAAGCUUGGUGCUUGCACCGAGCGGAUGAGUUGCGAACGGGUGAGUAACGCGUAGGUAACCUGCCUGGUAGCGGGGGAUAACUAUUGGAAACGAUAGCUAAUACCGCAUAAGAGUAGAUGUUGCAUGACAUUUGCUUAAAAGGUGCAAUUGCAUCACUACCAGAUGGACCUGCGUUGUAUUAGCUAGUUGGUGAGGUAACGGCUCACCCAGGCAACGAUACAUAGCCGACCUGAGAGGGGGAUCGGCCCCACUGGGACUGAGACACGGCCCAGACUCCUACGGGAGGCAGCAGUAGGGAAACUUCGGCAAUGGACGGAAGUCUGAGCGAGAAACGCCGCGGGAGGGAAGAAGGGUUUCGGAUCGUAAAGCUCUGUUGUAAGAGAAGAACGAGUGUGAGAGUGGAAAGUUCACACUGUGACGGUAACUUAACAGAAAGGGACGGCUAACUACGUG
This 497-nucleotide ribosomal RNA is filed under the name uncultured bacterium. RNAcentral's name for it is "partial 16S ribosomal RNA". It matches the Rfam family "Bacterial small subunit ribosomal RNA", at positions 28 to 507 of the family's 1533-position model. The record is from RNAcentral.